Molecule: ribosomal RNA, 610 nt
Filed under: uncultured archaeon
Lineage: Archaea
Description: bacterial SSU rRNA
Rfam family: Archaeal small subunit ribosomal RNA
Source: RNAcentral
GUCUGCGGCCUAUCAGGUAGUAGUGGGUGUAGCGUACCUACUAGCCUACGACGGGUACGGGUUGUGAGAGCAAGAGCCCGGAGAUGGAUUCUGAGACACGAAUCCAGGCCCUACGGGGUGCAGCAGGCGCGAAAACUUUACAAUGCUGGCAACAGCGAUAAGGGAACCUCGAGUGCCAGGUUACAAAUCUGGCUGUCGAGAUGCCUAAAAAGCAUUUCAUAGCAAGGGCCGGGCAAGACCGGUGCCAGCCGCCGCGGUAACACCGGCGGCUCGAGUGGUAACCGUUAUUAUUGGGUCUAAAGGGUCUGUAGCCGGCCGGAUAAGUCUCUUGAGAAAUCUGGCAGCUUAACUGUCAGGCUUUCAGGAGAUACUGUCUGGCUCGAGGCCGGGAGAGGUGAGAGGUACUUCAGGGGUAGGGGUGAAAUCUUGUAAUCCUUGAAGGACCACCAGUGGCGAAGGCGUCUCACCAGAACGGACCUGACGGCAAGGGACGAAAGCUAGGGGCACGAACCGGAUUAGAUACCCGGGUAGUCCUAGCCGUAAACGAUACUCGCUAGGUGUCGGCCACGGUGCGACCGUUGUCGGUGCCGUAGGGAAGCCGUGAAGCGAG